RNAcentral lists this ribosomal RNA (533 nucleotides) under uncultured Geobacteraceae bacterium. RNAcentral's name for it is "bacterial SSU rRNA". It matches the Rfam family "Bacterial small subunit ribosomal RNA", at positions 9 to 526 of the family's 1533-position model. Lineage: Bacteria; Pseudomonadati; Thermodesulfobacteriota; Desulfuromonadia; Geobacterales; Geobacteraceae. The record is from RNAcentral.
GAGUUUGAUCCUGGCUCAGAACGAACGCUGGCGGCGUGCUUAACACAUGCAAGUCGAACGUGAUCCGGAGCUUGCUCUCAUGAAAGUGGCGCACGGGUGAGUAACACGUGGAUAAUCUGCCUGGCGAUUCGGGAUAACACUUCGAAAGGGGUGCUAAUACCGGAUAAGCCCACGGGUUCUUUGGAAUCUGCGGGAAAAGGGGGGGACCUUCGGGCCUUCUGUCAUCAGAUGAGUCUGCGUACCAUUAGCUAGUUGGUAGGGUAAUGGCCUACCAAGGCUACGAUGGUUAGCUGGUCUGAGAGGAUGAUCAGCCACACUGGAACUGAGACACGGCCCAGACUCCUACGGGAGGCAGCAGUGAGGAAUAUUGCACAAUGGGGGCAACCCUGAUGCAGCAACGCCGCGUGAGUGAUGAAGCAGUUUAUCUGUGUAAAGCUCUGUUGAUUGGGACGAAAUUUAGGGUUUGCAGCCUUAAUUGACGGUACCAGUUGAGGAAGCUCCGGCUAACUCCGUGCCAGCAGCCGCGGUAAUAC